Gymnodraco acuticeps is the source of this 1626-nucleotide long non-coding RNA. RefSeq lists it as uncharacterized. NCBI's taxonomy places the organism in Eukaryota, Metazoa, Chordata, Actinopteri, Perciformes, Bathydraconidae. The transcript is spliced from 2 exons. The record is from RefSeq and is a predicted model, not a curated record.
AAAUGACGUAAAACCAGUCCCUAACUACUAUAUUCAGGCAUUCCAGUGAAAGAAAGCCUUUGACCUGUUGUGCAACGACACAUGGUCAGCCAACAGGCCUCUCACUUUAUUAUUACAUUCACCAACAGCUGAACCUGUUUAGGACAUUCCUCCAAUGGCUUAACUGAUACCUAACUCAACUGAUAGCCUUAAGAACUGUGUGCAAGAAGCACGUUAUAAAGAUUAAUACAAGUGAAAGUUCACUUUUUUUUCAGCGACAGACACUUAAUACUAGUAUAGCCUACUGCUUAGAGAAUAUGAGAUAGUGACCAGAAAACACUUACUUAGCACUUUUAAAGCAACAAAAUCAGGGAUGUAAUAACACCAGAGUAUACCGUCAUGUUGAUUUAAAAUGUACUUUUAGAUUUUGAAUGUAUUAAAAGCAUUCAAGCCUCAGGGCGAUAGAGUGUUUGUCCACCCAGAGUGGAGCAACAACAAUUACAAGAAUGAAAAUAACAAACAGUUAUAUGCUAGUGCAUUGAUACAAAUACAUUCAACAAGGCUAUUCAGAAAUCAUUGUGAUGUACAUUGGUGUGUGUAAAUCAUAACACUUUUUGCCAUUUAUUUUAUUUGUGUCCAAGUUAAACAGAUCUUAGCAUUCAGAGAGUUAAUUGAUAAUAAAAUCCUGUUGAAUUUAGUCUCUGAUGUUGCAGCAUUCAUAUCAAGGAACAUAAAUAACAGCUUCAAAAGGCACAGCAUAGCAUUUACAAAGAAAAUGAAUUAAACAGUAAAAUAUACAUUACAGUUUCAUUCUUUUAUCUCUUGUCUAAAUGUCUUAAGGAAACAAACCUUUACAUGGCAGAUUAUGCACAUAUAAAUUAAUAACAGCAAUAGAGUAAUGCAUGGACAAUGUAGAUAAGGAAUAUGGGUAUUUUGAAUGGCAAGAUGUUAAUGAAUUGAUAUCAACCUCUGCACUGCAUUAAAAUGACAUACAAUGACAUAUAAAGGCUGAUAACUUUGAACAAGUUUCUUCCAAGGCAUCAUGAUUUACACGCUCUUUGACGGGCGGGGCAGCACCAGCCUCAGCCCGAUGUCGACCACACAGCUGGGCAUGUAGGAGAGGGGGAUCCAGAGCAGCUUGGCGUCCCAGCCCGGGCUGUACCUGGUGCGAGGGUAGGCCGCCGUCAGAGCAUGCUCCAUGCAGCCGGUCACCUUGGAGAGCUGGCUUGGACUUCAGGGGUGAGCUGGUUCCACAGGCGGUGCAGCUCCCUCUCCAGGGGGUCCAGGCUCGUCACCGCAGUCUUGAAAAAUCCUGGCUCAAUGAUGCACACAUUGAUUCCAAAGUAGUUUAUAUCUCUCCUGAAAACAGAAAUGUUACAUAGAAUACCAUCGUACAUUCAAUCUCUAAAGAAGUAAUCAUUAAACUGAUGAAAUAAUCCUUAUUUGGAAGCGUUAUUGUUAACUGAAUCAUUUGUUUAUAGUGAAAAACGUUUGCUUAAACAUGACAUGUGAUUAUUAAUGUGAAAUGUACAUUGGCUGAAAGAGUGUAAAGCCUGUGAGAAUCUUUCUUCCUACAGAUACAUACUCUUGGCACUUGAUGGAAGCAUUGUCUCUCUGUUGUACAACAAUACAUUUUAGCUUCAAUUA